Long non-coding RNA from Brassica rapa (field mustard), 4745 nucleotides. RefSeq lists it as uncharacterized. Lineage: Eukaryota; Viridiplantae; Streptophyta; Magnoliopsida; Brassicales; Brassicaceae. The record is from RefSeq and is a predicted model, not a curated record.
UUUCCGGUUUUGGCGGAAAAAUACGUUUUUUGGUUUUGGUGGGAAAAUGCAUUUUUCCGGUUUUGGUGGGAAAAUGUAUUUUUUCCCCGGUUUUGGCGGAAAAUAAUUUUUCGGUUUUGGCGGGAAAAUACGUUUUUUGGUUUUGACGGAAAAACACGUUUCUCGAUUUUGGCCGAAAUGUUAGGUUUUACUGGUUUGACCAAAAAAUGUGUGUUUUAUGGAAAUAUGCAUUUUACGGUUUUGAAGAAAAACGUAUUUUGCGGUUUUGGCGGAAAAAUGUAUUUUUUCAAUUUUUGUGGAAAAAUAUAUUUCUUGGUUUUGGCGAAAAAAUGUAUGUGCAAAAAAAAAAAUUUACGGUUUGAAAAUUAUAUUUUGACUUUAAAUGGUCAUUUUUGUCAUUUAUCAUUUUCGAGUGAACUAGAUGCACCAUCAAGACUCACCUUCAUUUAGGUGAGAAUUUGAGAUAAGUUUUUAAAAAUUCAGCUGAAUGAUCCAUCUAGAUAUAGCAUUAUAAUGCACAAAACGAACAAUACGUUUGUGGAGACUCAAGCCGAUGAUGGGUUCAGAAUUAAAUAUUUAUUAGAUAUAUAUUUGAGAAUUAAAUAUUUAUUAGAUAUGUAUUUGAAAUCGUAGAGAAUGUGUUUAAUGAAUCGGUUUGUCAAAGUGGUUGAGUGUCAGAAUAUUCACUUAUAAAACAAGGGUUUGAAUCCGGCUUUCAACAUAUUUUGACAAUUUUUUUUAAUAAAAAUUAUUUUAAUCCGUAAAAGACAGCUUUAACUUCCAUUAUGACACGUAAGUUACCGUUAAUGACAUGUCAUCGUCCAUAUAUGUUUGACUAACGGAAAAUAGAUCAAUGCAUGAUUUAGCUUAAUUUUAUUAGUUCAUGUAUAAAAUUUAAAAUAAAUUUACGUUGAUGUAUGUUUUAGCACAGAUCAUCAGUGUAUGUACUGAUCGAGACCGCAUCCUUCUGUUGAUUUAUGAAUUUUCCGAUUUCCUAUACCAGUUUGUAUUGAACUAGAAAAAUGGUCUGUAAUGCAAAUGACUAACUUCUGUAACAUUAUGAAAUAUCCGUUUUAAAAACUAAAAAAUAAUUAAAAGCUACAUUUUAUGUUAGUUUUUAUUCUCCACCAGAAACACCAGAUGUCUCUACCCUCAGCCUUCACCACUUUAUUUAUUAGUUUGUAUUCUCCUCCAGAACACCAGAUUUUGUACGAUGAGCUUUCCAGUAAUCUAUUUGUGCAAAACAAUAAACAUCAACUCGUUUGAAAGGAGGGACAUAUAAGAAACUGAUAUAUGGUGUAAAUUUUUUUUCCUUUAUAUAUCAUCUCUUAGAAUGGCUUUGAGAUCCGAAAUCACAGGAGCUGAGGCUACGUGAAUGCAGCUACAAAACACUGAGCACUUUAUGUCAUGCUAGACACAACUCUUGACUAUCUUAAGACCAAACCAUAUCAAAUGUCUUAAACCUCAUGGUUACAGAUUUACACUACACACAAUGCUAUUAACAGGUAAGGAUUUAGUAUCAAAAGAGCUUCCAAUAUAGAGAAUGAUCCGUCGUUUGCAAGGAUCAAGAAAACAAAUUACAUGAGCGUGAAAGGGAAGGCAUAUACAUACAUUAUUGUCGGGCCAGAGUUUAUAGAUCCACCUGAACAGCCAAAAUUUGUUACUUGAUCAUUGUCCAUUUCAAAUAGCCAUGUUUUUCAACUUUCCACAAAAGAGAAUGAUGUAAUCUAUUUUUCUCAAAUGGGAUGAUGAAAACGACGAAAGUUACAAAAUUUAAAGCCUAAUUAUUGUCUUAAUUACAUAAGAAAUAAAUAUGAAUUAUCUAUACUAUACUAAAAGGGGGAUAUACUCCACUCUAAAGCUGUCCACGUCAGAUAAAAAAAUCAUCCAAUCAUAUUAUAAGGUUUUGCCACGUAAGCUAUUGGGUUUUGCGUUUUCUAAAAAUCCGUCUCGACCUUGCCCUUCGCCGACUUGACAUGUUCAUCUACUUUGAUCUCUUCGUUUUCCCCAAUCUGAAAAAGAAACAUAUGUUCUCUUAUUCACCAGAGGCUUUAAAUUAUGCACUUCUAACCCUUUCUUCUUGCCUUUUCAGUUCUUCUUCUCCAUCUCUCCUUCCUCCUCCUCUUCCAAUCUACAAAUGUUGUUACAACAGAGCAUCGAUGAUCAGGUUACCCAUAUAUGCUCACUUAGGAUUGAAUCAGCUCCAUGAUGUCGUCAACGUUUAUAUGAAGGGGUUUGACAUCGAUCCAAGCAACCGUUACAAUCAUGUUUGGUAGACGCUCAAGGUUUUGCGUCGACUCCACACGCCGUCUCGGAUCCAUUUGGAUAGGCUUUCCAAUGGCGGAGAUGUCGAAGAACCUAAUGACAGAUUCUUCAGCGAGAGUACUCAGGUAGGUAAGCAGCGUGGAUCAGGAGGAUACGAUGGUUGUGCCUCUAAGGAAAGACCUGAGGCAAAGAAGAAACAAAAACUGGAGCAUGAACCUGAGCCAGAGUGUGGAGAAGAAAAGUAGAACAAGAAGAUGAAGCAGAAAGCUUUAAAGGAGAUAUAGAUGGGGAAUGCGGCAUACAAGGCCUUCGAAACACUAUCAAUAAUUAGUCACAAUCACGAAAAUUGAUGAUGAAGAUAUCUCUUUAUCACAAAUCGUACUGCUGUUUAUCUGGAGAUGACAAAGGUAUAGUCUUUAUGUGUAUGUGUAGUUUUUAUGAAUAAUAGUCUACAGUUUGUAUGAUUUGCUUGGUACUUGGUUGAGUAUAAAUGUGAUCAUGUUUGAUUCAGUAUUAUGAGUGCAUUAAUGUAUUAGUCCCGAAUGAUUGAAGAAGGAGGACAAGUUCAUCGAGCUUGAUUGUGUAUAUUUUCCAAGGGAUACAACAGAAAAGGAGCAUGAGUGACAAUGCAAUGGAGACAUACCAAGAGGGUGUCUAACAUGAUCCUAAAAAUCAGGAGUCUCUCGACGGUCUUAGAAGUUAUGCUACAUGUGUAAAGAUAAAAUCUCACUCAGCCUCCGAAGCUACAGCAGAAGCGAGUUCAACCACCCAAGGAAGAACUCCAGCGCCCCAAUUGAGUCCGGAAGAGGCUGGACGAAGAGCAAGGACCCAGCUUUCCCACGGUGAAUCUGAAGGAAACGGUGCAAGGGGAAAAAAAGGUUAAGAGAUGAAAAAACAGAAGGUGAAGCUGAACAUGAAAUUUGCAAAGAAAAUGGGACCGAAGAUUUUACAUGAGUUAGAAGAAGGAAGGUUAUGAGGGUAUCUGCGAAACGCUAUCAGCUUUGCCUUCUACUGCUCAUCAUGAUGCCUAGGUACUAAUCUCAUGGUAAAGUUUAUGUCUUUUGGUUUCCUGAUGAUUUGUCUUAUAAACUUUUAUGCAAGUAGUAUUAGAAAUAAAAAGGAAACAAUAUCAUUAAUACUAAAGUUCAUGAUAUGGAUCUGGUGGCCUUGAAGUGUUCAAGUGUAUGCCUCCAUGAUUCUCAGAUUUAUAACAACCUCUGAGCUUUUUGGUCUUUCAGGAGAAAGUUCAAUUUUUGCUGUUUGGCCUUGCAUGGAAAUGGAUGUUCUUGAAUUUCUAGGUUUUCUCUCUCUGUCUCUCUUUGUUUUGUAGAUUGAGUGUGAGCCAGCAUAUUUGAUGCCUGACUAUGGAUUGAAAACUUUUAACUAAUAAACAGCGAUGAGCAUCUAGAUCUUAUUCACGACUAAAGUCAUCGAGAGAAUUGGUAACUUUUUUAGUUAAAUUUGCUACUAAAUGGUGAUAUAAAGAUUAUUUCAGGGUCGAAAUUAGGAUAUUAUUUUCUGUAACCUUCCACCAUCUUGACAGUUUUAUGCGUUUCAGCUAGACUUACAAUUCAUCGUGUACGUAGAUGGCUCGAGGAGUGGCUGUUAAGUCAAGUGAGUGUUGUUUGUAAUUGAUUGACCUAAACCAGUUGAUGAUACGAACAUUGAUAUCUCCACGCUUGAGAAGUUUCUUCAGGAACAAAAUCAAUAUCGGCAGCAAACCUGGAGCUCUUAGUGACACCGUAAUGGAACGCGAAAGAUCACCGUUAACCUCACCACCGAUUCCAACUUCUACAAACGGUACAUCACGACUUUCAUUUCGAGUUAAUUCAAGUAUCAGACCAGAAAUAUUUGAGAAAGUAAAAUCUAUGUGAUUGCGUUGAACAAAACAGGGAUCGUUUUCUUGCAGUGAUCAGGAACAAGUGCUUAACGUUCUUCCUCUGUUUACUUAAAAGAAGAAGCCGGAUCUGUUUGAGAAGUUGCAGAAGAAAAAAAAAUGUUUUCCAUGAUGCAUAAAGAGAGAAGAGAAGCAACUACUGGCUUACCAGUCUCCAUGUAUUGUCACAAGAACUAUAAAAUUGGCGCAGCCUAGGACGCUUGCUUGGUGCCGUAAGCGGAUGUUAGUCUCAGGUUCCGGCCCUGUAGGGAUUGAUAUGUAACCAGUUGGGUAGACAUUUUAGAGUUACGGCAGAAAUUUAGGCAAGCAGUUGAAGAGCUGCUCUACAUCUUUGGCUCAGCGUUUGUCAUGGAGAAUGAAAACUCAGGUUGUUUAGUUGGAUGUGAUGAGUCUCUGAUUGCUUCAGUCUUAUGUUGAGAUGAUGCAUUUUACUUUACUUUAAAUGUUAUCUUUGGCUGAUUGAAUAAAGCAUAUAAAAAUAUCAUAUAACAUUAAUUUUUGGAUUCACGCAAAAAUGUAAUAGAAAACUUAUGGAUUUCCAGAAAAAUAUUCACUGGGCGCAUGAUGUAACACCAAUUUGUCC